CCAAUAGCGUAUAUUAAAGUUGUUGCAGUUAAAAAGCUCGUAGUUGAAUUUCGAGAUCGGUUUAUUGGUCGUGCUAUUGUACGUACUGGUAUUACCGGUUUCUCCUUUCUGACGAACCUUAAUGCCAUUAAUUUGGUGUUUUGGGAAAUCAGGACUGUUACUUUGAAAAAAUUAGGGUGUUUAAAGCAGGCUCACGCUUGAAUACAUUAGCAUGGAAUAACGGAAUAGGACGUUUGAUUCUAUUUUGUUGGUUUCUAGGAUCGACGUAAUGAUUAAUAGGGAUAGUUGGGGGCAUUAGUAUUCAAUUGUCAGAGGUGAAAUUCUUGGAUUUAUUGAAGACUAACUACUGCGAAAGCAUUUGCCAAGGAUGUUUUCAUUAAUCAAGAACGAAAGUUAGGGGAUCGAAGACGAUCAGAUACCGUCGUAGUCUUAACCAUAAACUAUGCCGACUAGGGAUCGGAUGAUGUUAAUUUUUUAAUGACUCAUUCGGCGCCUUAC
RNAcentral lists this ribosomal RNA (498 nucleotides) under uncultured Glomeromycotina. RNAcentral's name for it is "partial small subunit ribosomal RNA". It matches the Rfam family "Eukaryotic small subunit ribosomal RNA", at positions 591 to 1091 of the family's 1831-position model. The record is from RNAcentral. Lineage: Eukaryota; Fungi; Glomeromycota.